RNAcentral lists this ribosomal RNA (550 nucleotides) under uncultured Anaplasma sp. RNAcentral describes it as "bacterial SSU rRNA". It matches the Rfam family "Bacterial small subunit ribosomal RNA", at positions 72 to 655 of the family's 1533-position model. Lineage: Bacteria; Pseudomonadati; Pseudomonadota; Alphaproteobacteria; Rickettsiales; Anaplasmataceae. The record is from RNAcentral.
CUCGUAGCUUGCUAUGAGAACAAUUAGUGGCAGACGGGUGAGUAAUGCAUAGGAAUCUACCUAGUAGUAUAGGAUAGCCACUAGAAGUGGUGGGUAAUACUGUAUAAUCCCUGCGGGGGAAAGAUUUAUCGCUACAUGAUGAGCCUAUGUUAGAUUAGCUAGUUGGUGGGGUAAUGGCCUACCAAGGCAGUGAUCUAUAGCUGGUCUGAGAGGAUGAUCAGCCACACUGGAACUGAGACACGGUCCAGACUCCUACGGGAGGCAGCAGUGGGAAUAUUGGACAAUGGGCGCAAGCCUGAUCCAGCUAUGCCGCGUGAGUGAGGAAGGCCUUAGGGUUGUAAAACUCUUUCAGUGGGGAAGAUAAUGACGGUACCCACAGAAGAAGUCCCGGCAAACUCCGUGCCAGCAGCCGCGGUAAUACGGAGGGGGCAAGCGUUGUUCGGAAUUAUUGGGCGUAAAGGGCAUGUAGGUGGUUUGGUAAGUUAAAGGUGAAAUGCCAGGGCUUAACCCUGGAGCUGCUUUUAAUACUGCCAGACUGGAGUCCGGGAGA